RNAcentral lists this long non-coding RNA (10097 nucleotides) under Lynx pardinus (Iberian lynx). The record is from RNAcentral. Lineage: Eukaryota; Metazoa; Chordata; Mammalia; Carnivora; Felidae.
AGAGGCCGUGCCUUCCACAAACGCUAUUCUGUACUUGUCAGAAGAAGCUAUUUCUCUACCAUCCUUAAACCAGGACACCCUCAUUGGGAGGGAGCCAGCGAUUUUGCAGUCCAGCCUGCAGGUACUGCUAACAACGCUAUCCAUGUUGCGCAGGGGUUUGGUAAAAAAUGGAGCGAUGUCUCUAUCUGUUCGUGGCACAAGAAGAAAAAAAAGAUGAGCAUGGAAAAGGGCUCGGUGGUUUCAUUUAUGCUCAUUUGUUGGGUUUCAAGGGAACUCGUGGCACAGGUUUCUGAAGAUACUAACCUAACACAGUGAAUGUUGUUUCACAGGAGCUGCUGCCCACUUCGUUGGAAAUCUCAAAUGUGUAUUGGCCACUGUCAUGCAGUUCAGCUGAAUAAAAUUUGAGUUGGGCCACAUUGUUUUUAAAACUUAUUCGAUACUUUUUACUAGCAACCAAAGGUCUCCCAUCUUUGUACCAUUUGGGCUUGAGUUCUGGGGUGCCUGUGACCGUGUACUCCAGUGUGGCUGGGUCUCCUGCCGUCACCUGGAUCAGUUCUGCUCUCUCAACGAUUUUGGCAGGUUCUACAAUGGUAUUAAAUGGUUAGCAUGCCGAAAAGUGCAUUAAGGUUUCGCUUUAAAUGGAAAUAUUGAUUCUAAGUAAAAAUGUUCCUACACGAACCUUUAACUAUUAAUUCCCCAACAGAUGUUUGGCUUCCGGCUUCAUUUUCAGCCAGGCAUGUGUAUUUGCCACCCAAACUAAUCUGAACAUCAGGGAUUAUCAGGACCGCAACACCAUUAGAAAAGCUCAUUUUGAUUUUUCCAUCUUCUUUAAUGAUCUCCUGUCCUUUCAUCCAUGCAACAGAAAUGGGUUCUGACCCUCUCACGGCAGCUUGUAAGGUAACAGUUUGACCUGCUAGUGCAGUAAAAUCAUCUACUUUCUUUACAAAGGUUGGUGGUUCUAGUUAAAGAAAGAGAACAGACAAAACGUAUCAAUUCCCAAGCACUUUCAACACCAUAUACAUCUAAGUGUUUUAAUCUAGAUUACAUUUAUCUUUCCAAUAUUGCUAUCCCAUGGUGUUGGCCAAUUAGAAGAAUAUAUUGAAAUUUAAGAAGAAUGACAACUCCAUCCAAGAGAAAGAAGCAUAGAAGACACAUGGUUACCAGCUGACAAAAUGAUUAUAGAUUAUCCCAUAAUCCACUUUUGUUAUCAGAGAUUAAAUGUUUACAAUGAUCUCAGAAUAAAGACUGGAUGAAGGUCACUGGCUUUGUCCCCAAGGUCCCAGGUUAAACCAAAGGUGAAACAUAUUUUCAAAGAUUAGGAGAAGAGAAGGCACCAGCUUUCCUUCCGUGGGUUAGGAAAGCUACCUUGACAAUUUAUUAAAGAGACAUCAUUAUGUUCAAGCACUGACCUUUUAACAAAUGUGUUGCAACGCAGCCACACUUCCCAACUUCAUUAGCAACGACACAUUCAUAGUCACCCACGUCUGCACUAUUGAAAGAAAAUAUCUCCAGGAACACAAGAGACUUCUGAGAAAACAACCUGUACUUUUUACUACUCCGAAUUUGCUUCUUAUCUUUGAACCAGCUAAUUUCAAAUGGUCCAGUGCCUGAGACUUCACACUGAAGAAGGGCAUUCGUUCCUCUCACUAUAUCUGCAGGCUCAAGAGUUUUGAUGAAAGAAGGAGGCUCUACAAAAGCACGAAAGCAUCGUAUAAGUAACGGGUUACCAGCAAUUAAAAAGAAAAUCUUGUCUCAGAAACACAAAGGACUCUGAGUAGACAAACCUUUGAUAACUAUUUCGGCACUGCAGCUGUCACUGCCAACAUCAUUCACCGCUUCACAAGAGUAAUUGCCACUGUCUUCAACUUUCACAUCCGUAAUAUCAAGCACAGCCUCAGAAUUGACAAAAGACAUUCGAAUAGUGUUACUCUCAUUAAGUUCUUUGUUAUUUUUAAACCAAGUAACCUGGAUCACAGGUGAGCCUUUCAGCUUGCAAUGGAGGCGUGCUGAUUCACCUGGGAGCAUUAAAUAAGAGGGAUCCACCUUCUUCACAAAGGAUGGUGGCUCUACAGGAAGUUAACAAAAAAGAAAAAGGAAAGAGAUCUGAAGCAUAAACUCCACAAAAGAAAAGUAGACAUAUUACAACCAAAAGACACAACACACAUAAAAUAUCUCGAUGAAAGUUCUGUAAAGGUUAUGGUGCACUCAAUAGCUCUCCGUGUUUCCAUGAUUAUAAAACACUUUCCCAGUCUCUCAAUUAAAAAACAAACAAACAAACAAACAAACACAAAACAAGCAAACUCGACUUACACAAAAUACAAUUUUAUAAAAGAAGACAGUCCAGGGUCGCCUAGACACUCGACGUUCUUAGAAGAAAUUUUAAGCAAGCUUUGUUAAUGGCAGACAGCUUUAAAAGAACAAAGUGAUUUCCAAAGAUUGAAAACAUAAAAUCAAACAAUGCCAGGAUUUCCCCAAACCAAAACAAUUUCUUGGAUGAAAUUAUUUUAAUAAUGAAAUGUAGGGGCUGCAUUGUUUGCCAAAGAUUUUCUACAGUGGCAUCCUUAAAGAGAAGGAAGCGAAAGAUAAUAUUCACGCAUUUCUUACCUCUGAUAGUCACUGUGGCUGAAGAGGAGCUGCUCCCAGCCUCGUUGGAAGCUGUACAGACAUAGGUUCCUGAAUCUUUUAGUUUGGCCAGAGGGAUCUCAAGCGAUGCUAUUUUAUCUUCAAAAUAGAUCUUAUAAUCUUUCCCAGGGGGAAGUUUUUGCCCAUCUUUGUUCCAUGUUACUGUAACUUUUCUGUCUUCGUCUACUUGGCACUCAAGGCGGAUCUUCUUAUUGAUAGCUGAUUGCACAGGCUCCAAUUCUUUAAUGAAACGCGGCUUGUCGAUUAUGAUUAACUCAGCUUGGCAGAUGUCAGCUCCAAACUUGUUAGAAGCUUUACAAGAAUAAACUCCUCUAUCUUGAACUGUAAGAUUUGAGAGUUCUAAAAUGUGUUUGUUUUCUGCAUGUGAAAUCUUGCGGUUAGGGGAAGGCGAUAGUGCAGCGCCGUCUUUCUGCCAAAUGGUUUCAAUCACGGGGGUCCCUAACACUGUGCAGAGGAACUUGGCUGUCUUACCCACAAAAGUUGUAAUGGACUUAGGUCUGGAGUAAAAGCUUGGUGGAUACGCCUCUGCAAAAGAAAUUUUUUCAACGUUACAUUUUGUCUCCACGGAAGCUCUUGUUGUAACUGUAUAUUCUAAGAAAGGGAGGAGAUGAGUUCUAUAUUUAGAUAGACAUGAGACAUUGUUUAAGAUAGGAUAAUAAGAUGAAAAGAUCUGUCCAAGGAAAGGGAUGAGUGAGUUCUUUAUAGAGGAGUGAGACAACACUUUAUGUCUCUAUUAAAGGAAAGAACAAAUGUUGCUUUAUCUAGCAGCAACAUCAACUUAAUACAGUUAAAAGAUUUGUCCACUUUAGUAGUUGAUUAGUUGUCUGAAUUAUUUGAUAGGUAAUUCAGCUGUUACUUUAAUCCUGUAAAUUAGAAGACUGUGUAAGAAGAUAAAGAAAAUGCACCUGACUCUUCUGAAGAGUAGGGACAUUCAUUAAGUGAUACGAAGAUCAAGUUAGUGUUGUGAAGUCUCUCUAACCUUCAUGUCAACCAUCAGCAACUCCUUAAAUGGCCCAACUUUGAAUUCAUCCCCUAAAUCAUUUCAAACUUGUAAAAAUAUUUACACCAGUAAUUUCCCAUUUUCAUUCUGCACUUUGAAGGAAGCCUUUCCAAUUAAAAAAAAAUCUCUUCCUUCUUUUGCUCUUGUUAUUUGAAAGUUCAGGUAUUAGUCCUGUUACUGAACUGGCCUAAUUUGGGAGAAGAGGUUUUCAAAAGUGUCCUUAAGAAUACUGCCAGGUAGUGGUUGCAUGGAGACUCUUUGAUCACAAAGUGAAACCAAUAGAUGGGUUAUCAGGGAUCUGGGUUUCAGAUUUUCUGAUAUGUAAAAGAAUUGCAGAGGUGAGGAAGCUACAGGGAACCCUGACUUUUCCAAGUCAAAGAGAUGUGCUGUUUUUGCCUUUCCCCUUCAUGCUUCUGUUGGAAAAGACCUGGGACUGUCCCUCCCAGAUAUUUAAUGCAUAGCUUCUCUCAAAAACACAGGUAAUUGCUACCUAGACCCUAAGCCAUAGUUUUUUUUGUUUUGUUUUGUUUUGUUUUAAUGUUCAUUUGUUUAUUUUAAGGCAGAGAUAGAGAGCAAGCAGGGGAGAGGCAGAGAGAGAGGAAGAGAAUCCCAAGCAGCUCCGUGCUGUCAGCACAGAGCCCAACAUGGGGCUCGAGUUCAUGAACCUUGAGAUCAUGAACUGAGCCAAAACCAAGAGUCAGAUGCUUAACCAACUAAGUCACCCAGGCACUCCUCUAAGCCAUAGUUUAUACUCAUACUUUCCCUUGGAGGGAGAAAGCAAAAGAGAAAGACAGAGACAAAGAAAAGGAAAAUGCUAUACAUUUUCUUUCUUUCUUCUUUAAUCUUUCUUUCUUUCUUUCUUUCUUUCUUUCUUUCUUUCUUUCUUUCUUUCUUUCUUUCUUUCUUCCUCUUUCACUAAUGAGGGAAUUCAAACACUCAAUGAGCAUUAACUACUCAAAAGUUACGCUGUUGGUCAAUUAGGAAACUGAGAACAGAAUAUUUAUAUAGUUGCCCUUAUUUUUAAAUUAAUAAUAAAGCCUAGGGUGAGAAUCCUAGUUUGUAGUCCUGUAUUUUUAUUAGAAUUUAACUUUCAUCUUAUGAUUUGGCUUUUUUCAGUUUGUAAUUCUGUUUUUAACUGGUUAACUGGUUCCAAAUGAUCAAAUACAUUGGGACUUUAUUUUUUAGUAGCACCAAAGUGUCCUGAAAUUUUUCAUAUUAAGUGCCACGCCAGGCCAUGAGGAGUUAUCCGAGGCAUUUCCACAAAGCUAGUCAUUUUUUAAAAUAGAAUGAACAAAACAACACCCUAAACCAAGCUUUCAGGUGCCACUGGUCACUUGAUUCCUUGAUGUUGUUUUCAAAAUAAUGUAGUUUUAUUUUUUCUUUAGUUGCUCUUAGAAAUAUGACUCUAAAUAAUGAUUUCUUGUCCCCCUAUAGACUCUGCAGUACCUAGCCACCGUAUUAUAACUUGGCUAUUGGUCUCUCCAGUUGGUAGGACAUCCUGCACCUGUAUAAAGAACAAAACAGGCAAUGGUAUGAAAUGGGACAAGCACCUCAAUGUAUGUCAUUUACCUGUCACAGUUAGGGUGGCCGUACAGCUGACACUGCCGUACUCGUUGGAAGCUUUGCAGGUGUACUCGCCACAGUCAACAACCUGGGUUCUCAGGAUUUCCAGGCUGGAGACGUAAUUUGAAGAUCGGAUAGAACACUUGUCACUUUCAUAAAUUUCUCGGCCAGCUUUAAACCACUGGAAGCGGACAUUGGGGGCAGUGUGGAUCUCACAGGUGAAUUUGGCCAGGUGGCCCAGAGCUACCUCCAGGGGCUCGAUUCUUCUCCUGAUCACUGGGGCAGCUGCAAAGGGAAGCAGAGUCCAUUAGCAUGCCUCCUUAACAGGCACACCAGUUUUCUUCUAACUUCUGUUGCUGUUAAUGAAGGAAAACAAUUGAAAUUGAUGAAAUGGAUUGCAGCAGUUUAAGACAAGUGACUGGAACGUGAGAACAAUCAUUGAAGGUAAAAGAAGACAAUAGGUAGCUUUUAACAUCUUCAAUCAUUACUCUGCAGUGAAUUGUGAAAAAAAAUGAUUAAAAGGUGAUGCUAUGGGCUUACAUGCAUAAUAACAUGAUGUACUCUAAAUAUACCAUGCUGGCUAGGUACACUGUGAAUAGCAUUUCAUAAUGUGAUAUACUAAAUACAGUGAUGAAGUGAAAACAGCAUCAAAAAAGAAGUAAAAAUACGAAACACAAAUGGACAAUUAAUCAUGGUUAUUUUGAGUUUAGGGAUUAGACUGGCAAUUUCAGAGGAGCUAGGUGUUCACUGACAGCUUUUAUUGCAUAUUAUUAAAGUAUUUUGAAGUAAAUAUAAACUAAAAAAACCUGUUGGUAUUAUGAAACAUAUGAAAAUACGUUUUAUUUUAAAAAUAAAUAGCAACGUAGAGAUGAUGUACUACCCUGUAAGGCAGUCAGGAAAAAGGAGAAGAAUUAAUAACCAUGAUUAUGUCUGUGAUGUCAUUCUUACUCUACACAAAUUGCAUCCUGGCAGAGGCAGGUAAGUGAAAACUCAGUGAUGAAAACUAAAACAUUACGAUUCAGUGAUUGUUAGAGCGCGACCCACUUCAUCCUUAAAAAUCCAACCUCUUUUGACCACAGUGAGUUUUGCUGAAGUUGCUGUGUGUCCAUGUUCAUUCAAGGCCUCACAGGUAUAUGUUCCUUGAUGUUCUUCUGUAUUUACUUUGUCGAUUACUAGCAUGUAUGUAUUUUGAUCUUGUAAACACUUGAACUUUUCAUCUGAACACACCAGUUUGCCCUCAUAAUACCAAUUCACCUCUUUGGCAUUUGUUAUGGAUGACGUGAGGUUGACAGGGUCACCUUCCUCCAUAGUAGUGUCCACCAAGGGCGUGUGUAUGACAGGACCAUGUUCUUGGACUAAGCUGCCCUCAUUUUCCUGUACCUCUUCGAGGCCAACCUCCCUGGUACCACUUCCGGGGGACUUUCCUUUUUCCUCUGAUGGGUCUGGUGUCUCAUCAGGGAUAGCAGCUGAAGCAACCUCAUCAGGGACAUGUAUGUUAUCUUCAACUUUGAUCUGACUUUCCACAUGGAAACAGCUGACCUCUUCCACAGAGACGAGAUAUUUAGAUUCGACUUCGGGUUCUCUGAUUGUUUCGACCUUCUGUGAAACUGAAAAAGGACCCAUUUCUCCUUGCAAGCCUGUUUUGCCUCCUUUCUGGAUUCUGGGAUCCUCAGCUGUUAAGAUGUUUAUUUCCUCACAUAUAAUAGAGCACAAAGCAUCCUUAAGUUCCGUUCUCAAGUUAGCCAUUUGAGGAUCAAUGCCUUCAAUAGCAAUGGUUAAUUCUUCUGUUAGCGACUUCACCGAGGUAAUAAGGUAGGUGCACAUAAUGCGUUUGGGCUCUUGGGUGAAGUUUAUGGCCUUGAUCUCCACCCUUUCAAUGUUUCUUAACCAUUCAGAGAAAAGACUCGGUUGCUCACUGGCCACUGCUGCUUGCAAAGCCCUGCGGAUCUGAAUUUUGAGGUUUAAUCGUUCUUCUUCUGGAAUUCCAGAAAGCAAACUUUCCUUAGAAAGAGUGUCACUUACCUGCACCUCUUGCACACCAUUUAUCACCAUGGGCUCUUUUUUACACUCACUGGUUUGGUUCAGGGGCGCUGCCAGGUUGUCAGAGUGCUCUUUGAGCAGUACCUGCUUUUCCUCACAUGCUAGCGGAAACCUUAGGGACUUGCCUUCCUCAGUCCUGGCUGCAAAAUCUUGCACUGCACUUUCCAGUUGAUCUGUACUUUCCAUCAAAAUUUCACCUUCUGAGCAUGUGUGUUCUGAAGGGAUCUGGGGCUCACAGUUGACCUCAGAGAUUGUGAUGUCAAGACCCUUGAAACUUUCCAUGCUGCCCUCAGCUAAGCUCUGACUCAGGAUGAGAGCACUUUGUUCCUCCUGCUUUUGCAGAAUCACUCUUUGCUCAGUAUCCAUUGUGGAUACUGUCUUUUCUUUUGGUAAAAGUACUUCCUCAGCCACAGAGGUUGGAUAUGAAUGGGCUGGAGCUUCUUCGAUUGAAGAUUGUGGAUAACUCCCUUCAGGUUCAGCUAAUAACGUUUUCAGAGGCUCCACUGGUAAUGAAGUAAUUUCCUCUAUGGAAAGAGCACUUGGGAAGACUUUUUCAGUAUCUGAUAGGACCCCCUGUGACUCUGGCUCUUGAGGCACUAGAAUAUCUUCUUUGGGGAGGGUUUUCUGGGCCUGCACAAUCUGCAGCUGUAAACUGGGAGACGGUUCCUUGAUAGACUGAACAUGAAGAGUGCCACUGAUGGAGAGAAGUUCCCUGGUGCUGUCUGCAUUAGGCAUAUUCUGCUCCAACGUGACUGUGGAUUGCAGUUGUUCAGCCACUAAAGUAACUUGACUACUCAGUUCUUUGGUUUUAAUCACAUGCUCAUAAGAAAGCUGCUGGUUUUCUUCUGCAAUUAAAGCAGCUUUCAAAACAGUAUCCUUCACAAAAGCUGCAAUUUCCUGCUCGGAGUCAAAUGCCUCAAUGGCAGGAUCCUUUAAUGACAUCGGUGGAAAAUCUUUAGUAGCCUCUGGCAUGGGCUUUGCUUUACUGGGAGCAUCAGUCACGUUUGGGUCUUCCAGAAGCACGAGAAGCUCUGCAGCACAGGUGGACUCACCCCACCUAUUCUCUGCUUUACAGACAUAGAGGCCACUAUCUUCCCUCUGAGGGUCAUUGACAAUGAGCGUCCCGGAACCAUCAGGAUUAUGAAUGAUGGUGUAAUAAACACUGGUGUAAAGCUGUUUGUUUUCUUUGAACCACAAGACAGUGGGUGCAGGCUCUCCAAGUACUGUGUACUCAAAGAUGGCAGGGAGCCCCUGAGCACAGUGAAUUGGUUUGAACUCCUUAACAAAGUAAGGAGGACAGGGACCUUCAAACUUGUCCAGAAUUUCUUCCACUGGUUCUGGUUCUGUCUCUUUGUGCCCCUCUCCUUUGGAGCUUAUUUUUAGAUAGGCACUGCAUACUGUCUGUCCGUAUUCAUUACUGGCGAUGCAUGUAUACUCUCCCUCAUCCUCAAAUUUGGUGAACAGAAUGAUCAGACUAUGAUCAUUACCAUCGAAAACAAAUUUGUAGUCAGCAGAAGGGAUUAACAUCAUUCCAUUGAAGAACCACUGAAUUUUAGGCUUGGGAAUGCCAGUGACAGUAACAGACAGUUUAGCCACAUCCCCUAUGCUUAUUUCAACAUUUGACACUUCUUUGAUGAAAACUGGAACAUGGCCUUCCUUUUGGGAAUCAAAUUUCGUUGAAUGAACUGGAGGUUCAGACAAAAGUUCAAGUGUUUCCUUUCUAUUAGAUAAUUGAAGGCCAGAGCUAUUGGUUUGGAAUCCUUCUUCCUCAGCAGACAGAAGAAAACUAGAAAACUCUGUAUGGGGAAAAAUUAUUAUUAUUUUAUUAUCAGUUUUACUUAACAACAACAAAAAUAUAGAAGUCAAAGAAUUAUGUACCAGCUGAUGGCCUUCUUCUGCUUUAUUCCUGGAAUCGCUAGCGCAUCUUGAGAUUUACCAAAAAGCACAUUCCUAAUUUUUUAACCUUAGCUCAUUAUAUCAUAUUAUAUAAUUAUAGAUACUGUACUAAUGCAACUUUCAAUCCACAUCACUUGUGUUAGAGGUUACAAAUUUUAAAGCUGUUUUAUGAGUUCCUCUUUGUGAUAUAAGGUUUGAAAACCUGCUGCCUCUAUAUUUAUAAUAAAAGAAUCCAGGAUUAUUUAAAUCAAUUUCUAAAAAGAUCCAGGAUAGUUAUUUACAUUUAAGAAUUUUCUUGAGUUCAGAAUGAUAUCUAUCUUCAAAUUGAAGACCAAUGAUUUCCAAAAUAAAACAUCUAUGUUUCAGUUACUGCUUAUAAACUGAAGCUAUUCUUAAAAAUAAGAGGCUACAGAAAAUACUUAAUUUGAAUUUGUAAGAGAACCACCUCUUUCAGUUACUAGAAAUUCAGGCCUUCUUUUGCCGUGUAAAUGGCCAUAUUAUUUUAACAAAGCUUUUAUAAUAAGGCUUUUGUUGUCAAGAAAAUGGGAGAAGGAGAAAUGAAAGAAAACAACUCCAACAUUAAAAACUGGAUUGUACUUUAUUGUGUGAGAAAUACCUACACACCAUUAUGGAACAGAAAAACAAAAGAGUGAACAACGGAUAUUCUUUAAACAGGAUCAUGGAUGACAGGAUGAAGGGCUUAAUUUGAUAACAAGGAAUUCAGCUUUUCAUUAAAUCUGUUAGGAAUGUAGAACAGCACUGUUGUUAAUUGUUUUAUUACCUUCCCCCAAAGAAGUAUUAUUAUUUUAUUAAUUCACUCCCUUUGCAUCACAUGGAAUAGCCAGGCCUUAAUUCCUUUCUGUUCUGGUGUGGAAGCAUUAGAAGUCAGGACUCUAGUGUCUGUUGGCUUUAAAUGUACUGGCAAACAUUAUCUACAGCAUGUACACCACAUACU